This 153-nucleotide ribosomal RNA is filed under the name Alternaria oxytropis. RNAcentral's name for it is "5.8S ribosomal RNA". It matches the Rfam family "5.8S ribosomal RNA". From Rfam's summary of the family: 5.8S ribosomal RNA (5.8S rRNA) is a component of the large subunit of the eukaryotic ribosome. It is transcribed by RNA polymerase I as part of the 45S precursor that also contains 18S and 28S rRNA. The record is from RNAcentral. Lineage: Eukaryota; Fungi; Ascomycota; Dothideomycetes; Pleosporales; Pleosporaceae.
AACAUAAUAAUUACAACUUUCAACAACGGAUCUCUUGGUUCAGGCAUCGAUGAAAAACGCAGCGAAAUGCGAUAAGUAGUGUGAAUUGCAAAAUUCAGUGAAUCAUCGAAUCUUUGAACGCACAUUGCGCCCUUUGGUAUUCCAAAGGGCAUG